GCCACGCAGCACCCAUGCCAUGUGGGGAAGCCCAAUUUAAGAGGCUGCUAAACACAGACACCACAGCAGGAGAAAAUCCAUCCGCCAGAACUGGGAUUUCUCACACUACCUGUGUCUAAGGCUCACUUUGGUAUCCCUGGCUCUACUUUUCCUUAGGAACAGUCCUUGGGUCUUCAGACCUGGAAUCAGGAAAAGCUUCCUGUUGCGCUGCUAGAAAAAUUAAAUCGAUGUGUUUUAUUCAGCAGGUGAAUUGGAGACAAAGCCAAUCAACAUGAAACAAUAUGCAAGGAGAAAAUCUCAUGAGACUGGAAGUCUGAAACAGGGGCUACAAGACAAGUGGCUGCCCUAAGACCUGACCCUGUCUGCUGUGCCUCAUCCAGAGGAUGGCCCCCGAGAGAAUGAGGUCAUCUUCACCUACCUACAUCGAUGUUACAUAGACCUGCGGUUCAUACUUUCAAAUGCAGGGUGGGGUGACACCCGGAAACGCAGGACACCCUGGACCCCAACCUGUCACUGGGCACAGCACACUGCAGACAAACGAGGGACAGCAGUCCACCUAAGCGACAUGGUUUCGGGCUGUGGGCACAGUCCCAUGCACACAGAGCCAGUGUCGGAAAUCACGGCACCCGCCCCGGACGAGCGAGGUCACCCAGCAAUCCACAGGACCGCCGGCCACCUCAUUUUCCAGGAAGUUGAACUUAAAAUGCUUCCAUAAUUAUUUAUUUAUUAUUUAUGGUGCAGAAAGCAAAAUAAAUUAGUAAUGGAUUUCAUUUAGAUUCAGGUAUCAUUUAUAAACUACUUAAUUCUGCUUAACCAAUAUAACAAUGACUGAAUUAUUGAUUUAUGUGUCGACUAUAUCAUAUUAAAAUAUGUAUUUAUUGUUAUACAAUCAUAG
Brienomyrus brachyistius is the source of this 895-nucleotide long non-coding RNA. RefSeq lists it as uncharacterized. NCBI's taxonomy places the organism in Eukaryota, Metazoa, Chordata, Actinopteri, Osteoglossiformes, Mormyridae. The transcript has 3 exons. The record is from RefSeq and is a predicted model, not a curated record.